AUUGAACGCUGGCGGCCGGCUUAGCACAUGCAAGUCGAGCGGGAUGAUGGUGCUUGCACUAUCACUUAGCGGCGGACGGGUGAGUAAUGCUUAGGAAUCUGCCUCUUAGUGGGGAACAACAUCCCGAAAGGGAUGCUAAUACCGCAUACGUCCUACGGGAGAAAGCAGGGGACCACUUGUGACCUUGCGCUAAUAGAUGAGACUAAGUCGGAUUAGCUAGUUGGUGGGGUAAAGGCCUACCAAGGCGACGAUCUGUAGCGGGUCUGAGAGGAUGAUCCGCCACACUGGGACUGAGACACGGCCCAGACUCCUACGGGAGGCAGCAGUGGGGAAUAUUGGACAAUGGGGGGAACCCUGAUCCAGCCAUGCCGCGUGUGUGAAGAAGGCCUUAUGGUUGUAAAGCACUUUAAGCGAGGAGGAGGCCCUUUUGGUUAAUACCCAAGAUGAGUGGACGUUACUCGCAGAAUAAGCACCGGCUAACUCUGUGCCAGCAGCCGCAGUAA
This 503-nucleotide ribosomal RNA is filed under the name uncultured bacterium. RNAcentral describes it as "partial 16S ribosomal RNA". It matches the Rfam family "Bacterial small subunit ribosomal RNA", at positions 30 to 523 of the family's 1533-position model. The record is from RNAcentral.